RNAcentral lists this ribosomal RNA (299 nucleotides) under Cyanobacteria bacterium UBA8543. RNAcentral describes it as "partial 16S ribosomal RNA". It matches the Rfam family "Bacterial small subunit ribosomal RNA", at positions 1 to 324 of the family's 1533-position model. The record is from RNAcentral. Lineage: Bacteria; Bacillati; Cyanobacteriota.
CCAAAUGGAGAGUUUGAUCCUGGCUCAGGAUGAACGCUGGCGGUCUGCUUAACACAUGCAAGUCGAACGGGACUCUAUUGAGUUUCAGUGGCGGACGGGUGAGUAACGCGUGAGAAUCUGCCUAGAGGUUGGGGACAACCACUGGAAACGGUGGCUAAGACCCAAUGUGCAAGUUCUGUGAAAGAUUUAUCGCCUCUAGAUGAGCUCGCGUCUGAUUAGCUAGUUGGUGAGGUAAAGGCUCACCAAGGCUCCGAUCAGUAGCUGGUCUGAGAGGAUGACCAGCCACACUGGGACUGAGA